UUCAAGGAAAUCCAGAUUCACCUUCACAGC
This 30-nucleotide non-coding RNA is filed under the name Mus musculus (house mouse). The record is from RNAcentral. Lineage: Eukaryota; Metazoa; Chordata; Mammalia; Rodentia; Muridae.